GCCUUAAACACUUAAUUGAUUAAUCUAUCUUCAAAUAAUUUUGGAUCUACACAAUUUUCCCUGCCACUUUAAUUUACACCAAUACUACUUAUGGGCUUACAUCUUUCUCAUCUUUAUUGAUUUUCAGAAACUUAAACACAAUUGAUAGAACUUAGAGUUUUUUGUAUUAGGAAUCUUGUUUUGUCUUAGUUGAUAUAUUUACUGUAUUGGUCUAUCUAGAUUGGUAGUAAUUUGUUAAGUUUAAUGAUGUUUUAACUAAACUUUAUCUUUCUCUAGUAUUUUUCAAGGGAGCCUUUUAAGAUCUAUUUUUUUUAUUAAAUAAAUAAUUGAAUAAUUGAUUACAAAGGCUAAAAUCUUCUAAUAACCAACUACAUCAAAUUCUUAAAAAAGAAUUAGCUCCUCAAUAGAUUGCAUUCUUCUUUAAAACAAACUUAAUAUUUUUUGUUUUUGGUCAAGUAUCUAGGACUACUCCUUAAUAUUAUUAUUUAAUUGAACAUCCUUGUGAUUAUUCACUCUUCCAUAAAUAACUUAAAAUCUAUCACUAUAAUCUUUACACCUAGAAGUUAAAAUCAAAUUUCAUUUAAAUUUUUUUAAAAGAAUCUUUAGAUGCAUCAAAUCACUUUUUAUUGAUUUUCCAAUAUUAAAAUAAAAUCUUAAUCACAUGGAUUACAUGAAACUUAAUCAGAAAUAUCACGUGGUAUGGUCAAAUAAAAAAAAAUUAACUGACUUUUCAAAAAAUAAUAAUUGUAAAUAUGUAUGUACUUAAUAUAUUAAUUGUCAAAUAUAUGAAUGUAAAAGUAGUCAAUAAAUAUAAUAAAUGUAUAGUAAGUUAAAAAAUAAUAAUAAAUAAUAAUAUUAUUGAAAAAAUAAUAAGUAAUGUAUAUAUAUAUAUAUAUAUAUGUAUAUAUAUAUGUUUGAAACAGUUGAUUCAUCGUUUAACCAUCUUUUGGACUAUUUGUGAAAACUCUAGUCCCGAGACUGACGGAUAAAUGAGGUUCUACUGUACAUGCUUUCACUGAUUAAAAUGAAUACGUGCUGUGAUAUAUUGAAGGACUUUGAAUCUGGCCCACUAGAUUUUUAUAGAAAAAAAGCUACCAUCAAUUGGAAAAAAAUGCGAGUUUUUAUAGGAACUGAAGAGAGUUUACGAUAUAAGCUGCUGUAUGUUCUUUACAUUUUCCCUUAAAUGAAGAAAGAAUUAAUGUGCAAAAUAUUUUGGAUUAUUCUCCUGCAAAAUGUGGUAGAAAACUAAAACCUACUGCUAUCCAUUUUAGGUUGGUUUCAAUUUAAUUUUGUGAUUUUUUUUUUUUAUUAAGUAAAUAAUUUAAAAUAUGAAUUAAUUUUAGGUAUUUAU
This is a long non-coding RNA of Aphis gossypii (cotton aphid), 1351 nucleotides long. RefSeq lists it as uncharacterized. NCBI's taxonomy places the organism in Eukaryota, Metazoa, Arthropoda, Insecta, Hemiptera, Aphididae. The transcript has 3 exons. The record is from RefSeq and is a predicted model, not a curated record.